CGGGACGGGUGAGUAAUGUCUGGGAAACUGCCUGAUGGAGGGGGGUAACUACUGGAAACGGUAGCUAAUACCGCAUAACGUCGCAAGACCAAAGAGGGGGACCUUCGGGCCUCUUGCCAUCGGAUGUGCCCAGAUGGGAUUAGCUAGUAGGUGGGGUAACGGCUCACCUAGGCGACGAUCCCCAGCUGGUCUGAGAGGAUGACCAGCCACACUGGAACUGAGACACGGUCCAG
Molecule: ribosomal RNA, 233 nt
Filed under: uncultured bacterium
Lineage: Bacteria
Description: partial 16S ribosomal RNA
Rfam family: Bacterial small subunit ribosomal RNA
Source: RNAcentral